GACUCUUCCUGGGUCUGAGGAAAAGUAAAAGUAAUUUUGUCAUUUCCUGAAACUUCAAGUUAAACCUUUAAGCUGUUCAUUUCCUAAAAGGGUGAAAACGCGGGCACCCCUCGAGCUAGUUCAUCGCCUUUUAACCUAAAAAAAGUAUACUCAUGAGCAAGAAAGAAAACAAACAACAAACAAAAUGAAGUAGGAAACUCAAUGUUAACAGCUUAACACAGAAAGCCACUACAACAAUGAACAAAAAUUGCAAGUUAAUGAUAAAGUAAUGUAGAAACAAAAUUACAGACUACUAAAAACAUGGGAUUGCCAGUUGUUCAGAAAUUCCACAGAUGGAUCGUGAGUGGUUGUUGGAUCUUUCCAGAUCACCACACCACAUCACCCAGCCACUCUGCCCAAUGGGAGGGCAGACAGUGUUCCAGUGUAGGAGGAAGGGGUGUAAGGUGCGGGCAGUUUGUGAGGAGGGCACCAACGAGAGCUACUGUGAGAAAGUCUGCAUGGUCAAAAAGUGGAUUACCAAGAACAAAGCAUCAUAAUGUUGUCCAGUGGACCCCAGAAAACUGACAACUGUUUAGAACAAAGCCAAAGAUGAAACCAAAUAUAAAACCACUGAUGAAAACUAAGUGAAAAAUAUAAGCAAAAUAGAAGAAAAAUAAGGUCGUUAUUUCAAGAAAACGAAAGACAGUCAAUGCUGUUCUUUGUAUUCACAUACAAUUUGGUUCACACCAAAAUGUGAGUUGUUCUCUAUGAGAUGUUAUUAAAUGUUCCUAAGAAGACUCGCUUUAGAAAAAAACAGUAUUCCUAAGGCAUGUCCAAUCUGUCUCUUUUCUUAAUUGCUAUAGUUCUACUUUAUUAUUAUAAUGUAUUCAGCAUUAAAAUUCAUUAUUUCCCAAUAAGCUUGACUUUAUCUUAUAAUGAAAUACAACUGUCUUCUUGGUGAUUUUUAUAGGAGAUAUUAUGGAAAUAUUUUAUUAACAGAAGUAAAUAAAGUGUCAUAUCAUUUGGCUUUUCAGCCGUGUUA
Molecule: long non-coding RNA, 1021 nt
Filed under: Homo sapiens (human)
Lineage: Eukaryota; Metazoa; Chordata; Mammalia; Primates; Hominidae
Description: long intergenic non-protein coding RNA 881
Source: RNAcentral